This 73-nucleotide transfer RNA is filed under the name Ailuropoda melanoleuca (giant panda). It matches the Rfam family "tRNA". From Rfam's summary of the family: Transfer RNA (tRNA) molecules are approximately 80 nucleotides in length. Lineage: Eukaryota; Metazoa; Chordata; Mammalia; Carnivora; Ursidae. The record is from Rfam by way of RNAcentral.
GCCUGGCUGACUCAGUCUGGAGAGUGUGUGACUCUUGAUCUCAGGGUUGUGAGUUCAAGCCCCACGUUGGGCA